AAUAUAGCUCAAUGGAGGAAACUCUGAUGCAGCGACGCUGCGAGAUCGAUGAAGGCUUCCGAUUGGUAAAGUUCUGCCCUAGGGGACGAGAAUGACGGUACCCGCGGAGGAAGCUCCGGCGACCUACGUGCAAGCAGCCGCGGUAAUACGUAUGGGGCAAGCGUUGUCCGGAUUUAUUGGGCGUAAGGGGUUCGCAGGCGGGCUUUUAAGUCAGAUGUGAAAGACUACAGCGCAACUGUAGUAAGCAUUUGAAACUAAAAGGCUUGAGUUAAGGAGAGGAAAGUGGAAUUCCUAGUGUAGCGGUGAAAUGCGUAGAUAUUAGGAGGACUACCAGUGGCGAAAGCGACUUUCUGGACUUAUACUGACGCUGAGGAGCGAAAGCGUGGGGAGCAAACAGG
Molecule: ribosomal RNA, 398 nt
Filed under: uncultured bacterium
Lineage: Bacteria
Description: partial 16S ribosomal RNA
Rfam family: Bacterial small subunit ribosomal RNA
Source: RNAcentral